RNAcentral lists this ribosomal RNA (440 nucleotides) under uncultured bacterium. Its description in RNAcentral is "partial 16S ribosomal RNA". It matches the Rfam family "Bacterial small subunit ribosomal RNA", at positions 338 to 795 of the family's 1533-position model. The record is from RNAcentral.
CCUACGGGAGGCAGCAGUGGGGAAUAUUGGACAAUGGGGGGAACCCUGAUCCAGCGACGCCGCGUGCGUGAAGAAGUAUUUCGGUAUGUAAAGCUCUAUCAGCAGGGAAGAAAAUGACGGUACCUGACUAAGAAGCCCCGGCUAACUACGUGCCAGCAGCCGCGGUAAUACGUAGGGGGCAAGCGUUAUCCGGAUUUACUGGGUGUAAAGGGAGCGUAGACGGUGCAGCAAGUCUGAUGUGAAAGGUCGGGGCUCAACCCCGGGACUGCAUUGGAAACUGUUGAACUGGAGUACAGUAGAGGUAAGCGGAAUUCCUGGUGUAGCGGUGAAAUGCGUAGAUAUUAGGAGGAACACCAGUUGCGAAGGCGGCUUACUGGACUGUAACUGACGUUGAGGCACGAAAGCGUGGGGAGCAAACAGGAUUAGAUACCCUAGUAGUC